This 550-nucleotide ribosomal RNA is filed under the name uncultured bacterium. RNAcentral describes it as "bacterial SSU rRNA". It matches the Rfam family "Bacterial small subunit ribosomal RNA", at positions 355 to 896 of the family's 1533-position model. The record is from RNAcentral.
UAGGGAAUCUUCCACAAUGGGCGAAAGCCUGAUGGAGCAACGCCGCGUGUGUGAUGAAGGCUUUAGGGUCGUAAAGCACUGUUGUAUGGGAAGAAAUGCUAGAAUAGGGAAUGAUUCUAGUUCGACGGUACCAUACCAGAAAGGGACGGCUAAAUACGUGCCAGCAGCCGCGGUAAUACGUAUGUCCCGAGCGUUAUCCGGAUUUAUUGGGCGUAAAGCGAGCGCAGACGGUUGAUUAAGUCUGAUGUGAAAGCCCGGAGCUCAACUCCGGAAUGGCAUUGGAAACUGGUUAACUUGAGUGUUGUAGAGGUAAGUGGAACUCCAUGUGUAGCGGUGGAAUGCGUAGAUAUAUGGAAGAACACCAGUGGCGAAGGCGGCUUACUGGACAACAACUGACGUUGAGGCUCGAAAGUGUGGGUAGCAAACAGGAUUAGAUACCCUGGUAGUCCACACCGUAAACGAUGAAUACUAGGUGUUAGGAGGUUUCCGCCUCUUAGUGCCGAAGCUAACGCAUUAAGUAUUCCGCCUGGGGAGUANNNNNGCAAGGUUG